Molecule: ribosomal RNA, 427 nt
Filed under: uncultured bacterium
Lineage: Bacteria
Description: bacterial SSU rRNA
Rfam family: Bacterial small subunit ribosomal RNA
Source: RNAcentral
UGGGGAAUAUUGGACAAUGGGGGCAACCCUGAUCCAGCAAUGCCGCGUGUGUGAAGAAGGCCUUCGGGUUGUAAAGCACUUUUAUCGGGAACGAAACAUUGUCGGCCAAUACCCGGCAAGACUGACGGUACCCGAGGAAUAAGCACCGGCUAACUCCGUGCCAGCAGCCGCGGUAAUACGGAGGGUGCAAGCGUUAAUCGGAAUUACUGGGCGUAAAGCGUGCGCAGGCGGUUUGUUAAGUCUGCUGUGAAAUCCCCGAGCUCAACUCGGGAAUUGCAGUGGAUACUGGCAAGCUGGAGUACGGUAGAGGAAGGUGGAAUUCCCGGUGUAGCAGUGAAAUGCGUAGAGAUCGGGAGGAACACCAGUGGCGAAGGCGGCCUUCUGGACCAGUACUGACGCUCAUGCACGAAAGCGUGGGGAGCAAACA